This 286-nucleotide small RNA is filed under the name Vigna angularis var. angularis. RNAcentral's name for it is "Non-protein coding transcript". Lineage: Eukaryota; Viridiplantae; Streptophyta; Magnoliopsida; Fabales; Fabaceae. The record is from RNAcentral.
AGAAACUCUUGCUCUAAAGGUUUUCUCUGUCUUCUCUCUAGAUACUCUGAACUUGGAACCAUAGGAAGUUGAUUCCGGUGCUGCCUAAGUGUCUGCGGAGUAGGGGGUUUCGUUUCUACCGAACAAUUUCUUGUUUCGAUCGGUUAUGUCAAGUUUCGCUCUGUGUGGAGGGUACUGUUAGGGAACUCCAGUAGGAUAUACUGCUCAUCUUCAAGAUGAGAGCAAAUGUUGUUGAGGAAAUACCUCUAGAGCAAGAGCUGGAGGAGAAUGAUGUUGCUGCACAAUC